Non-coding RNA from Microplitis demolitor, 132 nucleotides. RefSeq annotates it as small Cajal body-specific RNA 8. The transcript has a single exon. The record is from RefSeq and is a predicted model, not a curated record. NCBI's taxonomy places the organism in Eukaryota, Metazoa, Arthropoda, Insecta, Hymenoptera, Braconidae.
UGGAAGAUUGAUACUCAAAAGAUGUAAAGUCUAGGUCUUUUGACACAAAUUCUUCUUAUAAUAAUUUAAAAGCUUUUCGAUGACUGUAAAUUGUCACGUACUAAUUUACAGACAGAUACGGAGCUGACACUU